CGUAGGCAGCAAGCGUUGUUCGGAGUUACUGGGCGUAAAGGGUGUGUAGGCGGUUCUUUAAGUUUGGUGUGAAAUCUCCCGGCUCAACUGGGAGGGUGCGCCGAAUACUGAGGGACUAGAGUACGGGAGAGGAAAGUGGAAUUCCUGGUGUAGCGGUGAAAUGCGUAGAUAUCAGGAGGAACACCGGUGGUGUAGACGGCUUUCUGGACCGACACUGACGCUGAGACACGAAAGCGUGGGUAGCAAACAGGAUUAGAUACCCUGGUAGUCCACGCCCUAAACGAUGCAUAUUUGGUGUGGGCAGUUCAUUCUGUCCGUGCCGGAGCUAACGCGUUAAAUAUGCCGCCUGGGGAGUACAGUCGCAAGGCUG
RNAcentral lists this ribosomal RNA (370 nucleotides) under uncultured organism. RNAcentral's name for it is "bacterial SSU rRNA". It matches the Rfam family "Bacterial small subunit ribosomal RNA", at positions 526 to 896 of the family's 1533-position model. The record is from RNAcentral.